This 414-nucleotide ribosomal RNA is filed under the name uncultured bacterium. RNAcentral describes it as "bacterial SSU rRNA". It matches the Rfam family "Bacterial small subunit ribosomal RNA", at positions 8 to 422 of the family's 1533-position model. The record is from RNAcentral.
AGAGUUUGAUCCUGGCUCAGAUUGAACGCUGGCGGAAUGCUUUACACAUGCAAGUCGAACGGCAGCACGGGGGCAACCCUGGUGGCGAGUGGCGAACGGGUGAGUAAUACAUCGGAACGUGCCCAGUCGUGGGGGAUAACGCAGCGAAAGCUGUGCUAAUACCGCAUACGAUCUACGGAUGAAAGCGGGGGACUCGCAAGGGCCUCGCGCGAUUGGAGCGGCCGAUGGCAGAUUAGGUAGUUGGUGGGGUAAAGGCUCACCAAGCCUGCGAUCUGUAGCUGGUCUGAGAGGACGACCAGCCACACUGGGACUGAGACACGGCCCAGACUCCUACGGGAGGCAGCAGUGGGGAAUUUUGGACAAUGGGCGCAAGCCUGAUCCAGCCAUUCCGCGUGCAGGAUGAAGGCCUUCGGG